GUCGCCUGGUGAGAGUGGCGGAAGGGCGAGGAACACGUGGGCAACCUGUCUUGAGGUGGGGAAAACCGCUGGAAACGGCGGCUAAUACCGAAUGUAGCGCCCGCUCGCAUGAGCGGAGCGCCAAAGGGGGCGAAAGCUCCCCCUCUUCGAGGGGCCCGCGCACCAUCAGCUUGUUGGCGGGGUAACGGCCCACCAAGGCUCACGGUUAGCUGGUCUGAGAGGAUGGCCAGCCGCACUGGGACUGAGAUACUGCCCAGACUCCUACGGGAGGCUGCAGUCGAGGAUCAUUUGCAAUGGGCGAAAGCCUGACAAUGCGACGCUGCGUGGAGGAUGAAGGCCCUCGGGUUGUAAACUCCUGUCAUGGGGGAAAAGGAAACCCUGCCCAAUACACAGGGAAUUUGAUGGUACCCCAAGAGGAAGCGACGGCUAACUCUGUGCCAGCAGCGGC
Molecule: ribosomal RNA, 448 nt
Filed under: uncultured bacterium
Lineage: Bacteria
Description: bacterial SSU rRNA
Rfam family: Bacterial small subunit ribosomal RNA
Source: RNAcentral